AAACGACUCUCGGCAACGGAUAUCUCGGCUCUCGCAUCGAUGAAGAACGUAGCGAAAUGCGAUACAUGGUGUGAAUUGCAGAAUCCCGUGAACCAUCGAGUCUUUGAACGCAAGUUGCGCCCGACGCCUUCUGGCCGAGGGCACGUCUGCCUGGGUGUCACGC
Molecule: ribosomal RNA, 163 nt
Filed under: Phlebotaenia cuneata
Lineage: Eukaryota; Viridiplantae; Streptophyta; Magnoliopsida; Fabales; Polygalaceae
Description: 5.8S ribosomal RNA
Rfam family: 5.8S ribosomal RNA
About the family: 5.8S ribosomal RNA (5.8S rRNA) is a component of the large subunit of the eukaryotic ribosome.
Source: RNAcentral